UAAUAAUUACUGAGUUACAACUGACAACAGUUCCAAAUAAUUUAUUAUGGGUACAAUAUGCCAAUAAAAAGAAUAUUGGCAAACAUUUAUAGAAACUACAAUUUCCAUUUCUGCCGUGAAGACCUUCCCAAAGGCUCUGGCCGGCUCUGUUCUGUUGAACUGGACUUCUAGCAGCGGGCGUGGGAAACUCACUCCAGGACGGCGCAGCUUCUCUCAGCCCUGAUGGGGAGACGGGGUCUGGGCCUGCGCUUCAACUGCAGCCCCGCAGGAUUCACGACUGCCUAGGGCUGCUGGAGGACCAGGUGGGUUAGCCCACCCCAAACCUGUGUCCCAGUGCCUGAGGCUGUGAAUGCAAACUUGCCCAAGAGGUUUCCUGGGAAAGGAUUGUCGGAAAACCAGACAGAGACAAGGCUUAUCAGCCUGACUCAAUGCCAAAUGCCAGGGUCAGCAGGGACACCUGAUGCACGAGGGCACACACACUGCUGGCCACUCCGCCCUCAGCUCUGGCCUGGCCCUCAGCCCUCACAUGCUGCCGUCAGAGGCCUGAGCAAGGUACUGAAAUGGAGGAAAUGUACACAUUGAAGAGCAGUCUCACUGCCAUCUCUGCUGUGCGGUGAGAGCACACGACUUCAAUUCAGAAAACAUUUCAGCGUGCUGCCACAAGCCGGGCCUGUGUCCCACCAGCUCCCUUCAAAAAGCACGGCUCAGCCCAGCUUUCCAUGCUGGGGGCUGACUUCAGGCCACAGCCACAGUGCCAUGGCCCUUGGUAGGCAUGUCACUAGGGUGGGGACUUCAGAGGACACUGGGUCACUCCUUACGGACCGGAAGCUGGAUAACACCCAGUUAGCUGGAGCAGCAGAGGAGGAAAAUGGUGACCACCUCCUUGUAGUCAAGAGGAAUUUGUUGAACACAGCUUCUUUUGCAGGAAUGACUUCAUUCUACCACCCUUUGCUGCCAUAUCAGGACGUCGGGAAGCAAAGAGACGUGUCGGCUUGAUCAGCACACAGGUCAUUCCUAGAGAGAUCAGCUCAGUCACCGAGCAGGCAGGAACAGGCACUCUGGAGGGGAGAGGCAGGCCCAGGAGGAUGAGUCAAGGCAGGGAUUGAAACUGCAGGAUGAGGGAGUCAGCGCCUGGGAACCCACAGGGCGGAGUUAGAUAAGAAGAAAUGCCCGCGGAAUCUGCAGUUUAAAUGGAGCCUGGGGUUUGUAAAGAGGAGUCAGGCGUUCUUUACCUUGUCAGUUCCGACUGCUUUGUGCACAGCUGACUCAGAGACCGGGUGGGGCUGCCCUCUUAGGUGAAACCAGACCGAUUAGAAAGUCGGCUGGGCCCUGCAGAUCCUGCCGGCCACACCCUCCCAGCAUUAAGGGUAUGCCUCAUCUGUGAAACCAACUCUCCCCCGUGAAGGAGAAGUGACAUGUCCAUUUUAAAGAAAAUCACUUCAUGGUUGAGGAGGCAUGAUUUUUGCAUGCAACAGAGGCAGUGUAGAAGAAGUUCUUAAUCAACCUUUGUGCCAAGAA
This 1518-nucleotide long non-coding RNA is filed under the name Homo sapiens (human). RNAcentral's name for it is "long non-coding RNA NONHSAT167206.1". The record is from RNAcentral. Lineage: Eukaryota; Metazoa; Chordata; Mammalia; Primates; Hominidae.